RNAcentral lists this ribosomal RNA (292 nucleotides) under uncultured bacterium. Its description in RNAcentral is "partial 16S ribosomal RNA". It matches the Rfam family "Bacterial small subunit ribosomal RNA", at positions 505 to 796 of the family's 1533-position model. The record is from RNAcentral.
GUGUCAGCAGCCGCGGUAAUACGAAGGUGGCAAGCGUUACUCGGAAUUACUAGGCGUAAAGGGCAGGUAGGUGGUUUGAUAAGUCUGUUGUGUAAGCUCCCGGCUUAACUGGGAGAGGUCAACAGAUACUAUCAAGCUUGAGUAUAGGAGAGGGUACUGGAAUUCCCGGUGUAGCGGUGAAAUGCGCAGAUAUCGGGAGGAACACCAAUGGCGAAAGCAGGUACCUGGACUAUUACUGACACUCAGCUGCGAAAGCUAGGGGAGCAAACAGGAUUAGAUACCCUCGUAGUCC